UCGAGAAUAAUUCGCAAUGGGCGAAAGCCUGACGAUGCGACGCCGUGUGAAUGAAGAAGGCCUUCGGGUCGUAAAGUUCUGUCGCCUGGGAGCAAGUGUAUCACUCAAAUAGAGAGAUACAUUGAGAGUACCAGGAAAGGAAGCACCGGCUAACUCCGUGCCAGCAGCUGCGGUAAUACGGAGGGUGCAAGCGUUAGUCGGAAUUACUGGGCGUAAAGGGUGCGUAGGCGGAAAUAUAAGUCAGAUGUGAAAUUCCGGGGCUCAACUUCGGAGCUGCAUCUGAAACUAUAUAUCUAGAGGAAUGGCGGAGAAAACGGAAUUCCACAUGUAGCGGUGAAAUGCGUAGAUAUGUGGAAGAACACCUGUGGCGAAGGCGGUUUUCUAGCCUACUCCUGACGCUGAGGCACGAAAGCAAGGGGAGCAAACAGGAUUAGAUACCCGCGUAGUCC
This 449-nucleotide ribosomal RNA is filed under the name uncultured bacterium. Its description in RNAcentral is "bacterial SSU rRNA". It matches the Rfam family "Bacterial small subunit ribosomal RNA", at positions 355 to 796 of the family's 1533-position model. The record is from RNAcentral.